Molecule: ribosomal RNA, 390 nt
Filed under: Ochromonas tuberculata
Lineage: Eukaryota; Chrysophyceae; Chromulinales; Chromulinaceae
Description: partial small subunit ribosomal RNA
Rfam family: Eukaryotic small subunit ribosomal RNA
Source: RNAcentral
GCUUGUCUCAAAGAUUAAGCCAUGCAUGUCUAAGUAUAAGCAAUUUGUACUGUGAAACUGCGAAUGGCUCAUUAAAUCAGUUAUAGUUUAUUUGAUCUUACCUUACUACUUGGAUAACCGUAGUAAUUCUAGAGCUAAUACAUGCAUUAAACCCCGACUUCUGGAAGGGGUGUAUUUAUUAGAUGGAAACCAAUGCGGGGUAACCCGGAAUAUGGUGAUUCAUAAUAACUUUCGGAUCGAUUUAUCGAUGCAUCAUUCAAGUUUCUGCCCUAUCAGCUUUGGAUGGUAGGGUAUUGGCCUACCAUGGCUUUAACGGGUAACGGAGAAUUAGGGUUCGAUUCCGGAGAGGGAGCCUGAGAAAUGGCUACCACAUCCAAGGAAGGCAGCAGG